GACGAACGCUGGCGGCCCUGCCUAAUACAUGCAAGUCGAACGCUGACGGCUCGAGCUUGCUCGUUCCGGAUGACUUACCCACGGCAGAAUUGCGCGGGGGUUUUCUGCAUGGGAGCGACGGAUAACUAUUGCAACCCAUUGCUACUACCGUAGAACCGUACAUGUAGCCUGACACCUAUGGGACAGGAGGAAUUGCUCCCGUCCCAGAUGGACCCGCAGUGUAUUACCUAGUUGGCGAGGGAACCGCUCACCAUAGCUACUAGCCAUAACCAACCUGAGUAGGUGAUGGGGCACGAUGUAACUGAGACUCUGCCCACACGUCGUAGAGGACGAACCUGCAGGGACUCUUCGGCAGUGCACGGAGGUCUGACCGAUCCUCACCGCGUGAGUGAAAAAGGUACUCGGAUCGGAGAGCUCUGUUGUAACAGAAUAACAAGCGUGAGACUCGGAAAGUUCGCACGGCGCCGGUAUCUUACCUGAGAGGUACGGCUAACUACCUGCCAUCAGCCGGGGUGAUACAUAGGUCCCGAGCGGCAGCGCGAUUUCUUGGGCGUGCAGCGAGCACCUAUGGUUAAAUAAGUCGGAAGUGAACGGCUGUGGUAUAGCCUUAGGACGCUUCGGAAAGUGUUCAACUUGAAUGCUCAAUGAGAGAGUGGAAUUCCGUGUGCACCGGUGAAGUGCCUACAUAUAUGGAGGAACACCGGUGGGGAAAGGGGGUCUCCGGUCUGUAACUGGCCCCUAAGGCUCCAAAGUGUGGGGAGCAAACAGGAUUAGAUACCCCGGGAAUCCCCGCCCUAAACGAUGAGUGCUAAGUGUGGGGUCGUUUCCGGCACUCAGUGCCGCAGCUAGCGCAUUAAGCACUCCCCCUGGGGAGUACGCCCUCAAGGUUGAAACUCUAAGGAAUUGGCGGGGGCCCCCACAAGCGGGGGAGCAUGUGGUUUUAUUCGAAGCGCCGCGAAAAACCUUUCCCCGUCGUGACAUCCCUAUGACCCCUCUAGCGAUAUAGUUUUCCUUCGGGACAGAGGUGACAGGUGGGGCAUGGUUGUCGUCACCUCGUGUCGUGAGAUGUUGGGUUAAAUCCCGCAACGAGCGCAACCCCUAUUGUUAGUUGCCAUCAUUGAGUUGGGCACUUUAGCGAGACUGCCGGUAACUAAACCGGAGGAAGGUGGGGAUGACGUCAAAUCAUCAUGCCCCUUAUGACCUGGGCUACACACGUGCUACAAUGGCUGGUACAACGAGUUGCUAGUCGGUGAGGACAAGCUAAUCUCACAAAGCCAGUCUCAGUUCGGAUUGUAGGCUGCAACUCGCCUCCAUGAAGUCGGAAUCGCUAGUAAUCGCGGAUCAGCAUGACGCGGUGAAUACGUUCCCGGCCCU
This 1374-nucleotide ribosomal RNA is filed under the name uncultured bacterium. Its description in RNAcentral is "partial 16S ribosomal RNA". It matches the Rfam family "Bacterial small subunit ribosomal RNA", at positions 28 to 1381 of the family's 1533-position model. The record is from RNAcentral.